UAGGGAAUCUUCCACAAUGGGCGAAAGCCUGAUGGAGCAACGCCGCGUGUGUGAUGAAGGCUUUCGGGUCGUAAAACUCUGUUGUUAAAGAAGAACAUAUCUGAGAGUAACUGUUCAGGUAUUGACGGUAUUUAACCAGAAAGCCACGGCUAACUACGUGCCAG
This 164-nucleotide ribosomal RNA is filed under the name uncultured bacterium. Its description in RNAcentral is "partial 16S ribosomal RNA". It matches the Rfam family "Bacterial small subunit ribosomal RNA", at positions 355 to 511 of the family's 1533-position model. The record is from RNAcentral.